Molecule: ribosomal RNA, 2269 nt
Filed under: Eucorydia dasytoides
Lineage: Eukaryota; Metazoa; Arthropoda; Insecta; Blattodea; Corydiidae
Description: partial 28S ribosomal RNA
Rfam family: Eukaryotic large subunit ribosomal RNA
Source: RNAcentral
AUUAAUAGGCGGAGGAAAAGAAACUAACCAGGAUUCCCCAAGUAGCGGCGAGCGAACAGGGAGAAGCCCAGCACGGAAUCCCACGCGUUGACGCGUAGGGAGAUGUCGUGUGUGGGAGGUUCCAUCAUCCCGGGGAUCGGCGGCGAGUCCAAGUCUCCCUUGAACGGGGCCACAGCUCGUAGAGGGUGCCAGGCCCGUAGAGACCGCAGCCCUUCCCGGGAGGAGCUCUCCUCAGAGUCGUGUUCCUUGAGAGUGGAGCACCAAGUGGGUGGUAAACUCCAUCUAAGGCUAAAUACGACCACGAGACCGAUAGCGAACAAGUACCGUGAGGGAAAGUUGAAAAGAACUUUGAAGAGAGAGUUCAACAGUACGUGAAACUGUUCAGGGGUAAACGGGAGAGACCCGAAAGAUCUAAGGGGAGACUCAAUCACCCACGCAACGACGGGCCACGGUGCAUUCCGGAUGUCUCCGGCCGCCGGUCAUGCCGCAAGGCGUGCGCCGGUUCGCGUUGGAGGCACCGGUUGUCCGUCGGUAACAUAUCCGUCUGCGGCGGGAUGCAAUUCUUCCCUGGAGACGUCGCGACCCGUUGGAGUGCCGGUCUAAGGCCCGGGAUGGAGCCCGAGGGAAUCGCCGCGGAAACGCGGAUCAACGGUUCCCCGGACCCCGGUUUCCCGGCCGGCGUCCGACGGUAGUCUUACGGAGAAGGCCCGCUCACUCGAGCGAGCGUCCGGCCUGUGGGGCAAGCUCUUCGGUGGCGUCGUGGUGCCGUGGCGUCUGCCACGUCCCCGACCCCCGCGAGGCUGUUGGCCCCCGGUGUCCUCGGACGGUAGCCGUCUCCCGUCAGCGGCGCUUAUGCUUUGGGUGCUCUCCCGACCCGUCUUGAAACACGGACCAAGGAGUCUAACAUGUGCGCGAGUCAAUGGGAUUAACUAAACCCAGAGGCGCAGUGAAAGCGGGGCGGACCCUUCGCGGCCGCCUUGGGAGGAUGGCUCUCCCUCGGGGGAGCCCGCACUCCCGGGGCGCCUCGGCCUAGCCGCAGGCGCACCCUGAGCGUACACGUUGGGACCCGAAAGAUGGUGAACUAUGCCUGGCCAGGACGAAGUCAGGGGAAACCCUGAUGGAGGUCCGCAGCGAUUCUGACGUGCAAAUCGAUCGUCAGAGCUGGGUAUAGGGGCGAAAGACUAAUCGAACCAUCUAGUAGCUGGUUCCCUCCGAAGUUUCCCUCAGGAUAGCUGGCGUCCAUUUGGACUGGGACGAGUCUCAUCCGGUAAAGCGAAUGAUUAGAGGCCUUGGGGCCGAAACGACCUCAACCUAUUCUCAAACUUUAAAUGGGUGAGAUCUCCGGCUUGCUUGAUUGAAGCCGAGAGAGCCACCGGAUCAGGGUGCCAAGUGGGCCAUUUUUGGUAAGCAGAACUGGCGCUGUGGGAUGAACCAAACGUCGGGUUAAGGCGCCUAAACCGGAGCUCAUGGGAAACCAUGAAAGGCGUUGGUUGCUUAAGACAGCAGGACGGUGGCCAUGGAAGUCGGAAGCCGCUAAGGAGUGUGUAACAACUCACCUGCCGAAGCAACUAGCCCUGAAAAUGGAUGGCGCUAAAGCUCCGUGCCUAUACCCGACCGCCGGCAGGCAAGGGCGUCGCGGCUUGUCCGCGGCGCGUGAAGCCCCGGUGAGUAGGAGGGCGCGGCGGUGAGCGCGGAAGGGUCUGGGCGUGAGCCUGCCUGGAGCCGCCGCCGGUGCAGAUCUUGGUGGUAGUAGCAAAUACUCAAGCGAGGGCCUUGAGGGCUGAUGUGGAGAAGGGUUUCGUGUGAACAGCCGUUGCACACGAGUCAGUCGAUCCUAAGCCCUAGGAGAAAUCCGAUGUUGAUGAGGGGUGCUUACUUACGUAACGUACCUCCUUCGGGCGAAAGGGAAUCCGGUUCCUAUUCCGGAACCCGGCAGCGGAACCGAACCGUCGGGCCCUCGCAAGAGAAGCUCGUCGGGGUAACCCAAAAGGACCCGGAGACGCCGUCGGGAGACCCGGGCAGAGUUUUCUGUUCUGCAUAAGCGUUCGAGUUCCCUGGAAUCCUCUAGCAGGGAGAUAGGGUUUGGAACGCGAAGAGCACCGCAGUUGCGGCGGUGUCUGGGUCGUCCCCUCGGACCUUGAAAAUCCGGGAGAGGGCUACGCGGAGGUGUCGCGCCGGCUCGUACCCAUAUCCGCAGCAGGUCUCCAAGGUGAAGAGCCUCUAGUCGAUAGACUAAUGUAGGUAAGGGAAGUCGGCAAAUUGGAUCCGU